GAAAAGAGCUCUGAUAUAUGAGUUUAUGCCAAAUGGAUCUCUUGACAAGUUCAUAUGCUACAAAAGUCCUUUGAAGAGUAGUGAUCAUCAUUUGGGAUGGGAAACUAUGCACCAAAUUGCUAUAGGAAUAGCUCAAGGACUUGAGUACUUACACCGUGGAUGCAACACAAGGAUUGUGCACUUUGACAUAAAGCCUCACAACAUUCUUCUUGAUGAAAAUUUUACGCCAAAGAUUUCAGAUUUUGGUCUUGCUAAAUUUUAUCCAACAAAGGGGAACAUUGCAUCUCUUACAGCUGCAAGGGGAACAAUAGGAUAUAUGGCACCAGAAUUAUUCUACAAAAAC
RNAcentral lists this unclassified non-coding RNA (343 nucleotides) under Hevea brasiliensis (rubber tree). The record is from RNAcentral. Lineage: Eukaryota; Viridiplantae; Streptophyta; Magnoliopsida; Malpighiales; Euphorbiaceae.